AGGAAACUUACUGGGUUGAGCUUGGGUAUCUCUGUUCAUGCAAUUUUGGUGUGUAGUGUUCUUGGAACUUGAUUGGAAGAAGGUGAAUCUGAAGCUAUGAUGCUUAAGUAGUGCAGGAAAGAAAUUUUGGGUUUGUUUUGAUCAACGGAAUUUUGUAGCAUUUCCUUUUUACUAGCUGAGGUAAUUAAAUUAUGCAGUUCUAUCGUUAUUGGUGCCUUCAUUUUGGAUUAGUAAGUAGAUUAUUUUAUGUUAUUUUUUUAGUAAAUGAACUGCGUUUUGUAUGAAUCUGAAGCUGUGUCUGCGUUUUGUAUGACCAGACUGUAACCCAAAAUCCAUAUAUAACUUACAGAGAAAGAGAGAAAGGAUUGUACCAGCGCCUUGAGCACCAGCUCCUCGAACAAUGGUGAGACCCACCGGAAGAAGAUUAUAUGCAGCAGCAGAGACUCCAAAAACAUAAUCUUGAAAUGAAACCUUUGUUCCACUGAGAUACUCAUCAUACUCAUAACCAUUGCUUAAUCCCAAAUGCCCAAUAACAAUUACACCGCAAAAACACAAAAUUUUCCUCAUUUAUUAUCUCUAAUCCCACCUCUUUAAUACCCAAAAAUCAAAAUGCUAACUUUUAACUGGAGUUGCACGGACACAAAAUGCAUUUUGAAUAUUUUGGGAUCUAAAUCAAC
RNAcentral lists this long non-coding RNA (677 nucleotides) under Panax ginseng (ginseng). Its description in RNAcentral is "long non-coding RNA (PGIN_LNC018474)". The record is from RNAcentral. Lineage: Eukaryota; Viridiplantae; Streptophyta; Magnoliopsida; Apiales; Araliaceae.